Molecule: transfer RNA, 71 nt
Filed under: Saiga tatarica
Lineage: Eukaryota; Metazoa; Chordata; Mammalia; Artiodactyla; Bovidae
Description: tRNA-His
Rfam family: tRNA
About the family: Transfer RNA (tRNA) molecules are approximately 80 nucleotides in length. Their secondary structure includes four short double-helical elements and three loops (D, anti-codon, and T loops).
Source: RNAcentral
GUAAAUAUAGUUUAAAGAAAAACUUUAGAUUGUGAAUCUAACAACAGAAGCUCACUACCUUCUUAUUUACC